UACCUUUUAUGCAGAGUAAAAGUUACCAUUUUCUUCUUUCACUUCUGCUAUAUGGACUGCAAAACCCCCAGUUUGUGUCAAGGGAACGGUUUGCAUUCAGAAAUCAGAACUCAUCUUGGCUUAGAUUUGUCCAGAUUCUUCUUAUAGGGGUACAGACAACGGUGCCCUGAAGAAACGCCUGAGAUUUAAUAGAAUACCUGCAAUGAAGAGAGACAAAAUUGUAACUAGCACUUGAAUGGUGCAUAGCUGCUAUAAUUAAAACUCCGGCUGGUG
Pantherophis guttatus is the source of this 273-nucleotide long non-coding RNA. RefSeq lists it as uncharacterized. Lineage: Eukaryota; Metazoa; Chordata; Lepidosauria; Squamata; Colubridae. The record is from RefSeq and is a predicted model, not a curated record.